This 440-nucleotide ribosomal RNA is filed under the name uncultured bacterium. RNAcentral describes it as "partial 16S ribosomal RNA". It matches the Rfam family "Bacterial small subunit ribosomal RNA", at positions 338 to 795 of the family's 1533-position model. The record is from RNAcentral.
CCUACGGGAGGCAGCAGUGGGGAAUAUUGCACAAUGGAGGGAACUCUGAUGCAGCGACGCCGCGUGAGUGAAGAAGUAUUUCGUUAUGUAAAGCUCUAUCAGCAGGGAAGAAAGUGACGGUACCUGAAAAAUAAGCUCCGGCUAAAUACGUGCCAGCAGCCGCGGUAAUACGUAUGGAGCAAGCGUUAUCCGGAUUUACUGGGCGUAAAGGGAGAGUAGGUGGGAGAGCAAGUCCGAAGUGAAAACCCCAGGCUUAACUAUGGGAAUGCUUUAGAAACUGGUCAGCUAGAGUGCAGGAGAGGAACGUGGAAGUCUUGGUGGAGUGGUGAAAUGCGUAGAUAUUAGGAGGAACACCAGUGGCGAAGGCGGCUUGCUGGACUGUAACUGACACUGAGGCUCGAAAGCGUGGGGAGCAAACAGGAUUAGAUACCCGGGUAGUC